AAACCAUUUUUCCCCCUGAGUCUAGGCGAUAAAAAAGGAAGCCCGGCGCAAUAGAAAAAGUACCGCAAGGGAAAGCUGAAAGAGAGAUGAAACAGACCAGUAAAGCUUAACAAAGCAGAGAUUAAGACUCGUACCUUUUGCAUCAUGAUUUAGCUAGAACCUUCAAGCAAAGAGAACUAAAAGUUUGAAACCCCGAAACUGAGUGAGCUACUCCAAGGCAGCCUAAAUUGUAGGGCAAACCCGUCUCUGUGGCAAAAGAGUGGGAAGAACUUUUGAGUAGGGGUGACAGACCUACCGAACUCAGUGAUAGCUGGUUGCUCAUGAAUUGGAUAGAAGUUCAGCCUCCAAGCUUUCCUUAGUCGCACCCACAGGGUACCCUGUAUACAUUAUGGAUGCAAACGAAAUCUUGGAAGGUUAGUCAAAGGGGGUACAGCCCCUUUGAAACAAGACACAACUUUUACAGAAGGAUAAAGAUCAUACUUCACCAAGGAUUAAUGUCCUAGUGGGCCUAAAAGCAGCCACCUUAAAUAAUAGCGUUAAAGCUUAAACAUGAACUCCUCCCCAGAUACCGAUAACACAUCGUCAAUCCCCUAACACCUAAUGAGCCGCCCCAUGCCACACAUGGGAAUGACCAUGCUAAUAUGAGUAAUAAGAGGGCAGCUACAGCCCUCUCCCCGCACAAGUGUAAAUCGGACCGGACCAACCACCGAAUAUUAACGGCCCCAAUUAAAGAGGGCAUUGGAGAACACUAUAAUCAACCAGAAGAACAUCCAACUUAAUCCCGUUACCCCCACACUGGUGUGCACUUAAGGAAAGACCCAAUGGGGAAGAAGGAACUCGGCAAAUAUGACUGAAAGCCUCGCCUGUUUACCAAAAACAUCGCCUCUUGCAACGCACAAUAUAAGAGGUCCUGCCUGCCCAGUGACAGUUUGUUUAACGGCCGCGGUAUUCUGACCGUGCUAAGGUAGCGUAAUCACUUGUCUUUUAAAUGGAGACCCGUAUGAAUGGCAAAACGAGGGCUUAACUGUCUCCUUCCCCAAGUCAAUGAAAUUGAUCUCCCCGUGCAGAAGCGGGGAUUAUACCAUAAGACGAGAAGACCCUAUGGAGCUUUAGACAAAUGAUUGAACCAUAUUCCCUAAAACCUUGCUACAGGACUAAAUUUGAUGGCCCCUCUCUCAAUGUCUUCGGUUGGGGCGACCAUGGGGAAAAUAAAACCCCCACGUGGAAAGGGGCCAUAAACGCACGAUCACAACCCCUCAGGACAGGGCGACAGCCCUACCUAGCAGAAAUUCUGACCAAACUGAUCCGGAUAACCCGAUCAACGAACCAAGUUACCCUAGGGAUAACAGCGCAAU
This 1355-nucleotide ribosomal RNA is filed under the name Pseudorhombus dupliciocellatus (ocellated flounder). RNAcentral describes it as "16S ribosomal RNA". It matches the Rfam family "Bacterial large subunit ribosomal RNA", at positions 440 to 2486 of the family's 2925-position model. The record is from RNAcentral. Lineage: Eukaryota; Metazoa; Chordata; Actinopteri; Pleuronectiformes; Paralichthyidae.